RNAcentral lists this unclassified non-coding RNA (370 nucleotides) under uncultured Caryophanales bacterium. RNAcentral's name for it is "uncultured Bacillales bacterium contains 16S-23S intergenic spacer region". The record is from RNAcentral. Lineage: Bacteria; Bacillati; Bacillota; Bacilli; Caryophanales.
UCCGGUUUGUCACCGGCAGUCACCUUAGAGUGCCCAACUGAAUGCUGGCAACUAAGAUCAAGGGUUGCGCUCGUUGCGGGACUUAACCCAACAUCUCACGACACGAGCUGACGACAACCAUGCACCACCUGUCACCGCUGUCCCCGAAGGGAAAGACUUAUCUCUAAGCCGGUCAGCGGGAUGUCAAGACCUGGUAAGGUUCUUCGCGUUGCUUCGAAUUAAACCACAUGCUCCACCGCUUGUGCGGGCCCCCGUCAAUUCCUUUGAGUUUCAGUCUUGCGACCGUACUCCCCAGGCGGAGUGCUUAAUGCGUUAGCUGCAGCACUAAGGGGCCAUACGUCGAGUAAGCAUCGUUUAGGGCGUGGACUAC